This 358-nucleotide ribosomal RNA is filed under the name uncultured maize rhizosphere bacterium c12_23. RNAcentral's name for it is "bacterial SSU rRNA". It matches the Rfam family "Bacterial small subunit ribosomal RNA", at positions 114 to 507 of the family's 1533-position model. The record is from RNAcentral.
CGCGUGGGAAUCUACCCAUCUCUACGGAACAACUCCGGGAAACCGGAGCUAAUACCGUAUACGUCCUUCGGGAGAAAGAUUUAUCGGAGAUGGAUGAGCCCGCGUUGGAUUAGCUAGUUGGUGGGGUAAUGGCCUACCAAGGCGACGAUCCAUAGCUGGUCUGAGAGGAUGAUCAGCCACAUUGGGACUGAGACACGGCCCAAACUCCUACGGGAGGCAGCAGUGGGGAAUAUUGGACAAUGGGCGAAAGCCUGAUCCAGCCAUGCCGCGUGAGUGAUGAAGGCCCUAGGGUUGUAAAGCUCUUUCAACGGUGAAGAUAAUGACGGUAACCGUAGAAGAAGCCCCGGCUAACUUCGGG